GACGAACGCUGGCGGCGUGCUUAACACAUGCAAGUCGAACGAAGAGCGACGGAAGCUUGCUUCUAUCAAUCUUAGUGGCGAACGGGUGAGUAACGCGUAAUCAACCUGCCCUUCAGAGGGGGACAACAGUUGGAAACGACUGCUAAUACCGCAUACGAUCUAACCUCGGCAUCGAGGAUAGAUGAAAGGUGGCCUCUACAUGUAAGCUAUCACUGAAGGAGGGGAUUGCGUCUGAUUAGCUAGUUGGAGGGGUAACGGCCCACCAAGGCGAUGAUCAGUAGCCGGUCUGAGAGGAUGAACGGCCACAGUGGGACUGAGACACGGCCCAGACUCCUACGGGAGGCAGCAGUGGGGAAUCUUGCGCAAUGGACGAAAGUCUGACGGAGCAACGCCGCGUGAGGGAUGACGGCCUUCGGGUUGUAAAGCUCUGUUAAUCGGGACGAAAGGCCUUCUUGCGAAUAGUGAGAAGGAUUGACGGUACCGGAAGAGAAAGCCACGGCUAACUACGUG
This 510-nucleotide ribosomal RNA is filed under the name uncultured bacterium. RNAcentral's name for it is "partial 16S ribosomal RNA". It matches the Rfam family "Bacterial small subunit ribosomal RNA", at positions 28 to 507 of the family's 1533-position model. The record is from RNAcentral.